Molecule: ribosomal RNA, 253 nt
Filed under: uncultured bacterium
Lineage: Bacteria
Description: partial 16S ribosomal RNA
Rfam family: Bacterial small subunit ribosomal RNA
Source: RNAcentral
UACGGGGGGAGCAAGCGUUGUUCGGAUUUACUGGGCGUAAAGGGCGCGUAGGCGGUAGCACAAGUCAGUUGUGAAAUCUCCGGGCUUAACUCGGAAAGGUCAACUGAUACUGUGCGACUAGAGUGCAGAAGGGGCAACUGGAAUUCUCGGUGUAGCGGUGAAAUGCGUAGAUAUCGAGAGGAACACCUGCGGCGAAGGCGGCUUCCUGGCCUGUUCUUGACGCUGAGGCGCGAAAGCUAGGGGAGCAAACGGG